RNAcentral lists this ribosomal RNA (484 nucleotides) under uncultured bacterium. RNAcentral's name for it is "partial 16S ribosomal RNA". It matches the Rfam family "Bacterial small subunit ribosomal RNA", at positions 28 to 507 of the family's 1533-position model. The record is from RNAcentral.
AUUGAACGCUGGCGGCAUGCUUUACACAUGCAAGUCGAACGGCAGCGCGGGCUUCGGCCUGGCGGCGAGUGGCGAACGGGUGAGUAAUGCAUCGGAACGUGCCCAGUAGUGGGGGAUAGCCCGGCGAAAGCCGGAUUAAUACCGCAUACGACCUGAGGGUGAAAGCGGGGGACCGAAAGGCCUCGCGCUAUUGGAACGGCCGAUGUCGGAUUAGCUAGUUGGUGGGGUAAAGGCUUACCAAGGCGACGAUCCGUAGCUGGUCUGAGAGGACGACCAGCCACACUGGGACUGAGACCCGGCCCAGACUCCUACGGGAGGCAGCAGUGGGUAAUUUUGGACAAUGGGGGCAACCCUGAUCCAGCCAUGCCGCGUGCGGGAAGAAGGCCUUCGGGUUGUAAACCGCUUUUGUUCGGGAAGAAAUCCUCUGGGCUAAUACCCCGGGGGGAUGACGGUACCGGAAGAAUAAGCACCGGCUAACUACGUG